UUUGGGAAGCUUUGGUAGAACAGUUCAUGCGUAAAUGCACGGACAACUCCAUUUUUCAAUCUUUCAAGAACCAUAACUCCUGAACGGUAAAAGUCAAAUUCGUCAUUAUUGAACUUGACCUCCAUUCUUUCAUUAGUACAACAUAUUAAAAUUUGGGAAGCUUUGGUAGAACAGUUCAUGCGUAAAUGCACGGACAACUCCAUUUUUCAAUCUUUCAAGAACCAUAACUCCUGAACGGUAAAAGUCAAAAUCGUCAUUAUUAAACUUGACCUCCAUUUUGUCAUCAGUAACAGCAUAUUAAAAUUUCGGAAGCUUUGGUAGAACAGUUCAUGCAUAAAUGCAAGGACACGACUGGAAACUCCAUUUUUCAAUCUUUCAAGAACCAUAACUCCUGAACGGUAAAAGUCAAAUUCGUCAUUAUUGAAAUUGACCUCCAUUCUUUCAUUAGUAACAACAUAUUAAAAUUUGGGAAGCUUUGGUAGAACAGUUCAUGCGUAAAUGCACGGACAACUCCAUUUUUCAAUCUUUCAAGAACCAUAACUCCUGAACGGUAAAAGUCAAAAUCGCCAUUAUUGAACUUGACCUUCGUAUAGUUGUCAGUAAUAACAUAUUAAAAUUUUAAAAGCUUUGGUUGAACGGUUCAUGAGUUAAUGCACGGACAACAUUUGAUUGCCGCCCGCCCGCCCG
Molecule: long non-coding RNA, 687 nt
Filed under: Mytilus galloprovincialis (Mediterranean mussel)
Lineage: Eukaryota; Metazoa; Mollusca; Bivalvia; Mytilida; Mytilidae
Source: RNAcentral